RNAcentral lists this ribosomal RNA (497 nucleotides) under uncultured bacterium. RNAcentral describes it as "partial 16S ribosomal RNA". It matches the Rfam family "Bacterial small subunit ribosomal RNA", at positions 28 to 507 of the family's 1533-position model. The record is from RNAcentral.
GAUGAACGCUGGCGGCGUGCCUGAUACAUGCAAGUCGAGCGAACAGACGAGGAGCUUGCUCCUCUGACGUUUGCGGCGGACGGGUGAGUAACACGUGGAUAACCUACCUAUAAGACUGGGAUAACUUCGGGAAACCGGAGCUAAUACCGGAUAAUAUAUUGAACCGCAUGGUUCAAUAGUGAAAGACGGUUUUGCUGUCACUUAUAGAUGGAUCCGCGCCGCAUUAGCUAGUUGGUAAGGUAACGGCUUACCAAGGCAACGAUGCGUAGCCGACCUGAGAGGGUGAUCGGCCACACUGGAACUGAGACACGGUCCAGACUCCUACGGGAGGCAGCAGUAGGGAAUCUUCCGCAAUGGGCGAAAGCCUGACGGAGCAACGCCGCGUGAGUGAUGAAGGUCUUCGGAUCGUAAAACUCUGUUAUUAGGGAAGAACAAAUGUGUAAGUAACUAUGCACGUCUUGACGGUACCUAAUCAGAAAGCCACGGCUAACUACGUG